Molecule: long non-coding RNA, 2462 nt
Filed under: Bos mutus (wild yak)
Lineage: Eukaryota; Metazoa; Chordata; Mammalia; Artiodactyla; Bovidae
Description: lncRNA (ENSBMUG00000020880.1)
Source: RNAcentral
GGUAGCCCUGCCGGGGUGUGCGGAGGGCCGGGCCCCGGCGCCCUGCCCGCGGCCAACGCCUACGCCAGCAUCGACUUCUUGACGCAUCACCUGAAAGAGGCCACGGUGGUGAAAGAGUGAAGACCUGUCCGGCUCCAUCCCUGUGACUACAGACAUCACAGAAAACCAUGGGAAGAAGACGCUCAGCAUUUUUUUUUUAAACACAUCGGAAGCUGCUUGCCAUUUCCUUUUGGAUCUGAGCGAUCGUCGCGUGUAGACGCGCCUGUGACCCAGUUAGACGUGGACGCGCCCGUCUCCCCCGGUCUCCGGGGGUAGGGGGUGCAGUCAUCCUCCUCGCGCUGUUUGUGUUUUGGUUUUCAACAACAUGAGCGGAAGGAGUGACUCACGAGAAGGUCGAACAAUCUUGGUCGCGGCCAGUGUCUUUGUUCUCCUCGCCCUCGUUUGACGCAGCAGAUGUAUCCCGCAGCAUGCUCGGAGAUUCUCCCAGCUCGCGUUCAAGUGGUAAAAUCUGGUGUUUACGGACGUCCGCUCAAAACUACCACCGUCCUACCUCAGUCCCAGCCCCGGACACAGCUGCUCAUCGAAGUCCAGCCCAGGGACCUACGUGUUUACUCGCACACAGAGCCCCGCGUGGGACUGACGUCUCUCCACGGAGGUGCAACUAGAGACUGGACUCUGAAGAUGGAUGGAUGAAUAAUAAUUAUUAUAUGUAACGGAAGCAAGCUACUCUUGCAAAUCAUCAACUGUACGGGGUGGGAGAUGGUGGGAGGGCAGGGUCUGGGAAGGCCGGGUGGGGAUGGGGUGAGUAUCUCUUUUUACCUUUAAGAGACUUGUUCCAGCUUCUCUUUGUAGGUGUUUAUGUAGGCACUUCAGACUGCAGCCACCUUUGAUCCUAUCGACAAGCUCAAACGUCUCUGCCGUCCUUAACCUUGAGCUUGCGUUUCUCUAACCAAAAAUUCACGUAGGCAUGGAGCCCUUCCAAGACGGGGGGUCAAGGGUUUGGCAGGUCUCCUCUAAAAUGUAUUGUCUUGAUGACACUCUCGUGUCGGGCCACGAGGCUUUCCCAAACAACGACAACAAAGACACAGAAAGACAGAAAAGGAAAAGGAGCUGAGAAAGAAGGCAUCCUGGGACACAGAGGAAGAAAGUGAUCUCACAGUGCAUGUCACUUGUCAGAGGAGUUCCCAACAAGCGACCCCUCUUCUGUGUGUCUUCAGUGUUCUGGGAAUAUCAGUGUUGUGGUGAUCGCUGAGGGUGUCCCCAAGAACUGCCGCCCUUGAGCUGCAGAGCGUCAGGUCGCCUCCUCGCUCCUUGACGCGCGGGGCAGGGAGCUGCAGGCGCCCUCCACUCCCACGGGCUCAUCCUCAGUGCCUCUUCUCUGAGAGUCCUGUAGACGUUACAUGAAUUUGUUGGAGAUAAUGAGUUGGGGUGUGUUUUUUUUGGGGGGGUGGUAGGGGGAGAAAAAAUAUAUAUAAAUAUAUAGAUAUAUAUCAGUAUAGAAUAAUGCAUUCAUAAAAUGAGGCUUUUCUAGAGGAAGACCAAAAAGAUUCAAUGUCUUAAAUCUAUAUUUAAUCGCAAUGCAAACGUCUUUCUCCUUCCACGCUGACCUUUCAGAACAGAGGAUUGUAUCGCAAGACAAAGUUGAAUGUAAAGUGACCGCCCUGAACAUUGCUCAAGUUUCACGCUUCUGGAAUCACACAGCACAACCGUGCACAGACCAUCUGAUGUUGGUUUGAAGGUCGUUUUCAGUGUGUAAUGUAGAGAGACUUCAUGAAAAAGAUGUAUAAAGUGUCCUAAAGUUUUGGUUUAGUUCUGGGACUCGGGAUAGAUGGAGUUGCUAUGGAAACCGCCCCUCCCGCAGGACGGGUCGUGGACCCUGCCGGAUGCAGCGUCAGAAUCCCCUUCCCUCGCGUGGUCCUGCCACCCUCCCUGUGGUCAUGUUCCUCCUGCCGCUUCAAACAAGCGACAUAAAAAAGUUGAUAAUAUACUAAAUUUUCUUCUAUCCUGUACAUUUCAAAAAAAUUAAAAAAAAAAAGGCAUAUGCAAUAUUUACAUUUUUAAUUUAGUUUACAGAAUGGAACCAAAAUGUAUAAAUGUUAUGUUUGUUAAAACUUCACAAUGUAUAUUGGGUCUUUGUACAUUUUGCCUGACUUACCUUAAAUUUAAAAUAUUUUUUGCUAUAUAAACUUUAACAGUUAUGACAGUGUUUUCUUUUAGGGGGUACGUAUUGUUUCUGGAGAUCAAGAUGUUAAAUAUAUUUCUUGCUAUCGUGAAAUGACGAAAGACUGCCUUCUGCUGUCUUCCACCGUCUCCGCUGUACAUAAGGACCGACAUGGCACUGCUGGAAACCAGACUCCACGGAACUAGACUAGUGCAUUGUAUUUAGUCUGUAUUGAUCAUGGAUGCUCUCCUUAAUAGCCAUAUGCAAUACAAUAAAUGCAUUAUUUAUGAAAUGAAGACCA